This 503-nucleotide ribosomal RNA is filed under the name uncultured bacterium. RNAcentral describes it as "partial 16S ribosomal RNA". It matches the Rfam family "Bacterial small subunit ribosomal RNA", at positions 30 to 523 of the family's 1533-position model. The record is from RNAcentral.
AUUGAACGCUGGCGGCAGGCUUAACACAUGCAAGUCGAGCGGGGUGAUGGUGCUUGCACUAUCACUUAGCGGCGGACGGGUGAGUAAUGCUUAGGAAUCUGCCUAUUAGUGGGGGACAACAUCUCGAAAGGGAUGCUAAUACCGCAUACGUCCUACGGGAGAAAGCAGGGGAUCACUUGUGACCUUGCGCUAAUAGAUGAGCCUAAGUCGGACUAGCUAGUUGGUGGGGUAAAGGCCUACCAAGGGGACGAUCUGUAGCGGGUCGGAGAGGAUGAUCCGCCACACUGGGACUGAGACACGGCCCAGACUCCUACGGGAGGCAGCAGUGGGGAAUAUUGGACAAUGGGGGGAACCCUGAUCCAGCCAUGCCGCGUGUGUGAAGAAGGCCUUAUGGUUGUAAAGCACUUUAAGCGAGGAGGAGGCUCUUUUGGUUAAUACCCAAGAUGAGUGGACGUUACUCGCAGAAUAAGCACCGGCUAACUCUGUGCCAGCAGCAGCCGCCG